This 253-nucleotide ribosomal RNA is filed under the name uncultured bacterium. RNAcentral describes it as "partial 16S ribosomal RNA". It matches the Rfam family "Bacterial small subunit ribosomal RNA", at positions 524 to 776 of the family's 1533-position model. The record is from RNAcentral.
UACAGAGGUCCCAAGCGUUGUUCGGAUUCACUGGGCGUAAAGGGUGCGUAGGUGGCCGGUUAAGUCUGACGUGAAAUCUCCGAGCCUAACUCGGAAACUGCAUCGGAAACUAUCCGGCUCGAGGGUUGGAGGGGGGACUGGUAUACUUGGUGUAGCAGUGAAAUGCGUAGAUAUCAAGUGGAACACCAGUGGCGAAGGCGAGUCCCUGGACAACUCCUGACACUGAGGCACGAAAGCUAGGGGAGCAAACAGG